RNAcentral lists this ribosomal RNA (465 nucleotides) under uncultured Klebsiella sp. RNAcentral describes it as "bacterial SSU rRNA". It matches the Rfam family "Bacterial small subunit ribosomal RNA", at positions 338 to 795 of the family's 1533-position model. Lineage: Bacteria; Pseudomonadati; Pseudomonadota; Gammaproteobacteria; Enterobacterales; Enterobacteriaceae. The record is from RNAcentral.
CCUACGGGCGGCAGCAGUGGGGAAUAUUGCACAAUGGGCGCAAGCCUGAUGCAGCCAUGCCGCGUGUGUGAAGAAGGCCUUCGGGUUGUAAAGCACUUUCAGCGGGGAGGAAGGCGUUAAGGUUAAUAACCUUGUCGAUUGACGUUACCCGCAGAAGAAGCACCGGCUAACUCCGUGCCAGCAGCCGCGGUAAUACGGAGGGUGCAAGCGUUAAUCGGAAUUACUGGGCGUAAAGCGCACGCAGGCGGUCUGUCAAGUCGGAUGUGAAAUCCCCGGGCUCAACCUGGGAACUGCAUUCGAAACUGGCAGGCUAGAGUCUUGUAGAGGGGGGUAGAAUUCCAGGUGUAGCGGUGAGAUGCGUAGAGAUCUGGAGGAAUACCGGUGGCGAAGGCGGCCCCCUGGACAAAGACUGACGCUCAGGUGCGAAAGCGUGGGGAGCAAACAGGAUUAGAUACCCUAGUAGUC